GAUGAACGCUGACAGAAUGCUUAACACAUGCAAGUCAACUUGAACUUCGGUUUGGGUGGCGGACGGGUGAGUAACGCGUAAAGAACUUGCCUCACAGAUAGGGACAACAUUUGGAAACGAAUGCUAAUACCUGAUAUUAUGAUUUUAGGGCAUCCUAGAAUUAUGAAAGCUAUAUGCACUGUGAGAGAGCUUUGCGUCCCAUUAGCUAGUUGGAGAGGUAACGGCUCACCAAGGCGAUGAUGGGUAGCCGGCCUGAGAGGGUGAUCGGCCACAAGGGGACUGAGACACGGCCCUUACUCCUACGGGAGGCAGCAGUGGGGAAUAUUGGACAAUGGACCAAGAGUCUGAUCCGGCAAUUCUGUGUGCACGAUGAAGUUUUUCGGAAUGUAAAGUGCUUUCAGUUGGGAAGAAAAAAAUGACGGUACCAACAGAAGAAGUGACGGCUAAAUACGUGCCAGCAGCCGCGGUAAUACGUAUGUCACAAGCGUUAUCCGGAUUUAUUGGGCGUAAAGCGCGUCUAGGUGGUUAUGUAAGUCUGAUGUGAAAAUGCAGGGCUCAACUCUGUAUUGCGUUGGAAACUGUGUAACUAGAGUACCGGAGAGGUAAGCGGAACUACAAGUGUAGAGGUGAAAUUCGUAGAUAUUUGUAGGAAUGCCGAUGGGGAAGCCAGCUUACUGGACAGAUACUGACGCUGAAGCGCGAAAGCGUGGGUAGCAAACAGG
RNAcentral lists this ribosomal RNA (722 nucleotides) under uncultured Fusobacterium sp. Its description in RNAcentral is "bacterial SSU rRNA". It matches the Rfam family "Bacterial small subunit ribosomal RNA", at positions 28 to 776 of the family's 1533-position model. The record is from RNAcentral. Lineage: Bacteria; Fusobacteriati; Fusobacteriota; Fusobacteriia; Fusobacteriales; Fusobacteriaceae.